GCACCUGCAAAAUCAGGUGCCAGGAUUGGAACCCUGAAUCACUUCAUCGAUGACAUAAAAGCGCAUCUGCGCUUUUUUU
RNAcentral lists this small RNA (79 nucleotides) under Pectobacterium brasiliense. RNAcentral's name for it is "Pectobacterium carotovorum subsp. brasiliense isrK". It matches the Rfam family "isrK Hfq binding RNA". Lineage: Bacteria; Pseudomonadati; Pseudomonadota; Gammaproteobacteria; Enterobacterales; Pectobacteriaceae. The record is from RNAcentral.